GACGAACGCUGGCGGCGUGCUUAACACAUGCAAGUCGAACGGAAAGGCCCUGCUUGCCGGGUACUCGAGUGGCGAACGGGUGAGUAACACGUGGGUGAUCUGCCCUGCACUUCGGGAUAAGCCUGGGAAACUGGGUCUAAUACCGGAUAGGAGCCAUUUUUAGUGUGAUGGUUGGAAAGUUUUUUCGGUGUAGGAUGAGCUCGCGGCCUAUCAGCUUGUUGGUGGGGUAAUGGCCUACCAAGGCGGCGACGGGUAGCCGGCCUGAGAGGGUGGACGGCCACAUUGGGACUGAGAUACGGCCCAGACUCCUACGGGAGGCGGCAGUGGGGAAUAUUGCACAAUGGGCGCAAGCCUGAUGCAGCGACGCCGCGUGGGGGAUGACGGCCUUCGGGUUGUAAACUCCUUUCGCUAGGGACGAAGCUUUUUGUGACGGUACCUAGAUAAGAAGCACCGGCUAACUACGUG
RNAcentral lists this ribosomal RNA (465 nucleotides) under uncultured bacterium. RNAcentral describes it as "partial 16S ribosomal RNA". It matches the Rfam family "Bacterial small subunit ribosomal RNA", at positions 28 to 507 of the family's 1533-position model. The record is from RNAcentral.